CCUGAAAGUGCAAAGAAGCUCUGUUCUCUUUUGUCCCCAAAACCUUUCCCCUCUCAGCCUGACUCUCACAUCUUGAUCCUUUUUUCCUCAGUUCUAGGAGGAGGAGGCGUUCAAAAUCCUUUUAUCCCUGUAGUAAAAGUUGGAAGCAUGAAGAGAAACCUGAAAAAAUAAUGCCAAAAGAUGGGUCUUAAACCUGGAGGACAGUUGGUUGGUGAGGCGACGUGGUGCUCUGAGUGGGGAGAGGAACAGGCAACACAAAUAUGUUUGGGCAGCUGAUUAACCUUUGAGCUUGCUUUUCCCUCUGAGCCCGCUGGGUGUGCAGCCUUGACGUGUUCUGUGAGUCCAUUCGCCGUGCCGAGCCCCACGCUCGGGUGUUGGGCAGGUUUUCGGAUGUCGCAGCCCCAUGCGGUGCAGUGGGGACAACGCCAAGGCAGGUCCCUGAGCGUCUCCCUGCUCAGUCUUUCGGGUGCAGAUUCGGAAGUUUCCACUCACUUUUGGAGCUCAGUCUGAGACAUGUUCACCUUGGUUUGCAGAGACGGCAAUCAUGGCCAGUGGUGCUCAGAGUUUGUGGACACUCUAAACUGGCAAGCGAGCGCAGGAGCUGCUCGUCAGCCACCUAAUGGGAGACACGGGAAACCAGUGGACCCUUCAGAUCCAGAGUUGAGGUGCUCUGCCCUCCAUCCCACUGCAUGCCAAGAACCUUCCUUGGCUGUUACUGAAAAUGGGAAGCCUUCCGUCGCUAAGGCGUGCAGUCCAGGGAAGGUCACGCAGGGCAGGUUAAGGUGCCAGCCCUUGACUAGAGGAGUCAGGACCGUUAUUACUUUGGGCAGGAGAAGACUGAGGAAUGGGAAGGCAGAACGACCUGGGUAA
This is a long non-coding RNA of Struthio camelus australis, 870 nucleotides long. The record is from Ensembl. Lineage: Eukaryota; Metazoa; Chordata; Aves; Struthioniformes; Struthionidae.